GUAGUUUUUGUCUGUUUCUGGUUGUUAUUUUUCUAUUUGUGGUGGUUUUUGUCUGUUUCUGGUUGUUGUUUUCUAUUUGUGGUGGUUUUACGUCUGUUUCUGGUUGUUGUUUUUUUCUGUUUCUAGUUGUUUUUUUUCUAUUUGUGGUUUUAUGUCUGCUGCAACAACCGAUCAUUAUGGUGAUCAUGUGGUAAUUACCAUUCUGCUACCCGUUCUUCAGGUGUGUCCUUGGAAUCAUGUCAGCAGAAGACAGAUGGUCAUUAAUUCAUUGUUUUACUUGAGCUUAGUGGGUAAAAACACAUUCAGUGUUUCGAGUGUUUUGAUUUAUCAUAGAUAAAAAACACAGAGCUAAUGUAAUCAGACGCCAAGGGGCUUGGUCAGUCUGUAACAUGACACCAGAGGGCGUGGUCAGUUGGUAAUAUGACAUCACGGGGGCGUGGUUAGUCUGUAAUAUGACACCAGAGGGCGUGGUCAGUCUGUAAUAUGAUACCAGGGGGAGUGGUCAGUCUAGGAUUACAAACACAGAUCUUAUCAGUAGAUAAAUAAAUAGACACAUCAGGAAAUAAAUCAAUAAAUAGACACAGAAAUCAAUAAAUACUUAGAUGAGUAAAAUCAUUCAUAAGGGUUUCCAUGGCAAGAUGAGAUAAUGGCACAUUACUAUUGCAUUCUGGGUAAAUACAGAGCUGAGUUUUAGCUGGUUACAGUGCUAACAAUCAUGCUGUUUUUACAUUUUACAAACAGCUGGCACCAGCAGAAACCUCUAGGUGUUACUGCUAACCUGGCGUUAGCUGUUUGCUGAAUGUAUCAUAAAGCUGAUCUCCCAUCACAGAAUCAGAAGCAAACACACCUGAGUCGACCAGCCAAUCAGAUGUCUGCUCUAACCUGUGAAGGAGUGAGGUGUGACAGCAGGGCUUGUUUCAGUAAAAGCAUCAGGAGCUUGGUUUAUGGUGAAAGUUCAUCUGAGGUCAACCAGCUGUGGUUGUCUGUUGCCGUGCGAACAUGUUGAUGGCAUCACAGCAGCGAUACCUGUCUGUGUCUCACCUGUCCUUCUCUCUUACUUGUCUUGCUUAAAUGGUUGUGUGAAAAUGUCGCCACACCAACUUUCGGCCUAAAAUAAUAAUAUCAUCAAGCUAAUACUAACUGUUCAGAAGCUAACUUGGCUACUGGCCCCGCCCCUAGGCAGGCAGACAGACAGUUGCUGCUGUGUGUGUGUGUGUGUGUGUGUGUGUGUGUGUGUGUGUGUGUGUGUGUCCAAGUGAGCAUGCAUGAGUGUGUCUGAGUGUAAAUCCUCAUUUCCACUGUCGUCCACUGAGUGUCGCUGCAAACAGUGUCUUUGUUGGUUCUGUAGUCGGGAC
Molecule: long non-coding RNA, 1355 nt
Organism: Amphiprion ocellaris (clown anemonefish)
Lineage: Eukaryota; Metazoa; Chordata; Actinopteri; Pomacentridae
Source: Ensembl